AUAUCAAUAAGCGGAGGAAAAGAAACUAACAAGGAUUCCCCUAGUAACUGCGAGUGAAGCGGGAAAAGCUCAAAUUUAAAAUCUGACAGUGGCUUCUGUCCAUCCGAGUUGUAAUCUUAGAGAAGCGUCUUACCCGCGCUGGACCGUGCUACAAGUCUCCUGGAACUGGAGCGAUCAUAGAGGGUGAGAAUCCCGUCUUUGACACGGACACUACCAGGGCUUUUGUGAUGCGCUCUCAGAAGAGUCGAGUUGUUUGGGAAUGCAGCUCAAAAUGGGUGGUGAACUCCAUCUAAAGCUAAAUAUUGGCGAGAGACCGAUAGCGAACAAGUACCGUGAGGGAAAGAUGAAAAGCACUUUGGAAAGAGAGUGAAACAGUAC
Molecule: ribosomal RNA, 378 nt
Filed under: uncultured fungus
Lineage: Eukaryota; Fungi
Description: eukaryotic LSU rRNA
Rfam family: Eukaryotic large subunit ribosomal RNA
Source: RNAcentral